RNAcentral lists this ribosomal RNA (605 nucleotides) under uncultured Actinobacteridae bacterium. Its description in RNAcentral is "bacterial SSU rRNA". It matches the Rfam family "Bacterial small subunit ribosomal RNA", at positions 252 to 866 of the family's 1533-position model. The record is from RNAcentral. Lineage: Bacteria; Bacillati; Actinomycetota; Actinomycetes.
GUGGGGUAAUGGCCUACCAAGGCGGCGACGGGUAGCCGGCCUGAGAGGGUGGACGGCCACAUUGGGACUGAGACACGGCCCAGACUCCUACGGGAGGCAGCAGUGGGGAAUAUUGCACAAUGGGCGGAAGCCUGAUGCAGCGACGCCGCGUGGGGGAUGGCGGCCUUCGGGUUGUAAACUCCUUUCACCAUCGACGAAGGGUUUCUGACGGUAGAUGGAGAAGAAGCACCGGCUAACUACGUGCCAGCAGCCGCGGUAAUACGUAGGGUGCGAGCGUUGUCCGGAAUUACUGGGCGUAAAGAGCUCGUAGGUGGUUUGUCGCGUCGUCUGUGAAAUUCCGGGGCUUAACUCCGGGCGUGCAGGCGAUACGGGCAUAACUUGAGUACUGUAGGGGAGACUGGAAUUCCUGGUGUAGCGGUGAAAUGCGCAGAUAUCAGGAGGAACACCGGUGGCGAAGGCGGGUCUCUGGGCAGUAACUGACGCUGAGGAGCGAAAGCAUGGGGAGCGAACAGGAUUAGAUACCCUGGUAGUCCAUGCCGUAAACGGUGGGCGCUAGGUGUGGGCUUCCUUCCACGGGAUCCGUGCCGUAGCUAACGCAUUAAGCG